CUUUGACUGUCGACUCGCUUCUUAUUUCUGUAGCGAAACCCAGCAGCCUUCAUUAUGUUUUUAUCUGAAAAGUGUCUCUUAUGGAAUCUGCUGCUUUCUUUACUGACAUACAAACAUUUUUCUGUAACGUUUCAUUUUGUGCUGGAAAACUAAUGUUUGGAAUCUAAAAGGUUUUUGUCCUGAAUCAAUAAUGUAGAAGUCAGAAAAUAAACAUCUAUAACAAAGUUUGUAUAAAAAAAAAUAUAGGGUGCCAAGACUUUUGCACAGUAUAAUAAUAAAAAUAAUUUUGAUUAAUACAGCUACAUCAUAAAUAAAUAAAGAAAGAAAGAUAUAAAAGUACAUCAGGUGGAUUGUGGGUAAAUAAAUAAAACUCUGAAGACUAGAAAUUAUAACAUUUAUUUUUAUUUUUUCAUCACAUUCCAAAUAAAAAUGUUGGUGUUAAUUAUUGGAAUAAAUAAAAUAAAUGACUUCAUAAGUAUAAAAUAGUGCGCACACACACACACACACACACACACACGCAGAGGAUACACUGAAAAUACAAAAUAUAUUUACUUCCGUUAUCACACUGGGAUACAAAUAAAAUGAAUCUAAUAAAAAUGAAUAAUGAUACAGUGAUUGAUUUUUCCGUACUGGAUUAAGACUGGAAGACUGAAUACUUCUGUAAAUACAGAUAAUACAAAUAAAAUUAGAUACAUAUAAAAAUGGAAUGGAGUUGGGGUUUUAUUUAUUUAUUUAUUUACACUUCAGCUCCAUUUUAUGCUUUAAAAUAAAAAAUAAUAAUAAAUAAAGAAUAUAAAACACACCAGAAAAUGCAUUAAUAAAGUUUAUAUUGGGGAUUUAUCCUGAGAUUUGAAUCCGACGGCUGCCUGGAAUAUCGUUUAUAAAUCAGCACACAUCCUGAUACAUGAUAUGUAAAUUAUAUGUAAAUUAUAUGUAAAUUAUAUGUAAAUAAGCUCCCUAACAGACCCCUAAUCACUGUAUUUAUUUAUUUUUAAAUAAAAACUGCCUUAUUUUUAAUUAGAGCUUUACAGUAAUGACUCAAGUAAAAUACACAAAUAAAACACAAUAACUCACUUUAAUUUGAAUGAAAAGGGAGAAAAAAAAAAUUAGAAAAAUUCAAAAUGAGGAAAAACAGACAGUAAGUUAAAGAAGUGUAAUAAAUUAAUAACGUGGCUGUUAAACGUACAGCGUUAGCAGACUGACAUACAGCGAGGUGUGAUUAACGAUUAGACAUGAAUCCAGUCCUGCUUAUUGUAAUUAAUCUGUUGACUAAAAUAAAGGUUUAAACAUCAAAACCUGAGACAGGAAGUGAUGAAAUGUAUUCCUGAUGCUGAGGGAUAAACCUGCAGAGCGUUUCAGUAAUUUUACUCCUACUUCUGGGACGAAUGAGAGAAUUUCAUUUACUGUGCAGAACUUCCUGUUAGAUAAAACUGAUGAAAUAAAGAUGAAACUAAAAUAAA
Molecule: long non-coding RNA, 1460 nt
Organism: Pangasianodon hypophthalmus (striped catfish)
Lineage: Eukaryota; Metazoa; Chordata; Actinopteri; Siluriformes; Pangasiidae
Exons: 2
Source: RefSeq, a predicted model, not a curated record